UUUCUCUUAUUUCUCUUUUGUUAUAUUAUUAUUCUAUGAUUUAUGGAUUGUAAUUCUUUUACUUGCACAUUUUUGAUAUUUAUGCUAUUUUUCAGUAAUUAGCUCAUUGCUUAUAGCUCUGGGCUAUGGUUUGGGUUUGCCUAUUGGUGGGAUAAAAUAGGUGUUAUCAGGACUCAUGAAAUUGGCUCAUGACAGGAGACUCAUUACAAAUUAUCUUGGUCAACCAAUGCCUUGGUAGGAGCCUCAUGAUGUUCUCAGAGCUAUCAACGAGAAAUAUUAGAGGAAGAUGAAGAUGGCAAUUAUGGUUGCUGCUUUCGAUGCCCUUCUCUACCACACUUUGGAAGCACGAAACUGGAAGAUUCAUAGACAACAAAAUGUAGAUAUCGAUAAAGUUUUGACAUAGAUAUAAAUAGAAAUCAUAGGGAAAAUAGAUGAUUUUCAAGAGAGUAUAGGAGAAGUUACACUUGGAUAUAACAUAUUUGUAUUAGAUAAUUUUUCUUAUUGAUGAGGUCUUAAUCAACUAACUAGUUUGUUA
Molecule: long non-coding RNA, 535 nt
Filed under: Capsicum annuum
Lineage: Eukaryota; Viridiplantae; Streptophyta; Magnoliopsida; Solanales; Solanaceae
Description: long non-coding RNA (CANN_LNC020405)
Source: RNAcentral